This 16-nucleotide small RNA is filed under the name Arabidopsis thaliana (thale cress). RNAcentral's name for it is "ATSL256340". The record is from RNAcentral. Lineage: Eukaryota; Viridiplantae; Streptophyta; Magnoliopsida; Brassicales; Brassicaceae.
UUUUUAAUUUAAUCUC